AAUGCCUACGGGGGCAGCAGUGAGGAAUAUUGGUCAAUGGGCGGAAGCCUGAACCAGCCAAGUCGCGUGAGGGAAUAAGGCCCUACGGGUCGUAAACCUCUUUUGCCGGGGAGCAAGGGCGGGGACGUGUCCCGGCCCGGAGAGUACCCGGAGAAAAAGCAUCGGCUAACUCCGUGCCAGCAGCCGCGGUAAUACGGAGGAUGCGAGCGUUAUCCGGAUUUACUGGGUGUAAAGGGCGCGUAGGCGGGAUGGCAAGUCAGAUGUGAAAUCCAAGGGCUCAACCCUUGAACUGCAUUUGAAACUGU
This 305-nucleotide ribosomal RNA is filed under the name uncultured bacterium. RNAcentral's name for it is "bacterial SSU rRNA". It matches the Rfam family "Bacterial small subunit ribosomal RNA", at positions 334 to 636 of the family's 1533-position model. The record is from RNAcentral.